RNAcentral lists this ribosomal RNA (788 nucleotides) under uncultured bacterium. RNAcentral describes it as "partial 16S ribosomal RNA". It matches the Rfam family "Bacterial small subunit ribosomal RNA", at positions 82 to 866 of the family's 1533-position model. The record is from RNAcentral.
UGCUCCUGAUUCAGCGGCGGACGGGUGAGUAAUGCCUAGGAAUCUGCCUGANNNNGGGGGACAACGUUUCGAAANNNACGCUAAUACCGCAUACGUCCUACGGGAGAAAGCAGGGGACCUUCGGGCCUUGCGCUAUCAGAUGAGCCUAGGUCGGAUUAGCUAGUAGGUGAGGUAAUGGCUCACCUAGGCGACGAUCCGUAACUGGUCUGAGAGGAUGAUCAGUCACACUGGAACUGAGACACGGUCCAGACUCCUACGGGAGGCAGCAGUGGGGAAUAUUGGACAAUGGGCGAAAGCCUGAUCCAGCCAUGCCGCGUGUAUGAAGAAGGUCUUCGGAUUGUAAAGCACUUUAAGUUGGGAGGAAGGGCAGUAAGUUAAUACCUUGCUGUUUUGACGUUACCAACAGAAUAAGCACCGGCUAACUUCGUGCCAGCAGCCGCGGUAAUACGAAGGGUGCAAGCGUUAAUCGGAAUUACUGGGCGUAAAGCGCGCGUAGGUGGUUCAGCAAGUUGGAGGUGAAAUCCCCGGGCUCAACCUGGGAACUGCCUCCAAAACUACUGAGCUAGAGUACGGUAGAGGGUAGUGGAAUUUCCUGUGUAGCGGUGAAAUGCGUAGAUAUAGGAAGGAACACCAGUGGCGAAGGCGACUACCUGGACUGAUACUGACACUGAGGUGCGAAAGCGUGNGGAGCAAACAGGAUUAGAUACCCUGGUAGUCCNNNCCGUAAACGAUNNNGACUAGCCGUUGGGAUCCUUGAGAUCUUAGUGGCGCNNNNNNCGCAUUANGUC